This 72-nucleotide transfer RNA is filed under the name Camelus ferus (Wild Bactrian camel). It matches the Rfam family "tRNA". From Rfam's summary of the family: Transfer RNA (tRNA) molecules are approximately 80 nucleotides in length. Their secondary structure includes four short double-helical elements and three loops (D, anti-codon, and T loops). The record is from Rfam by way of RNAcentral. Lineage: Eukaryota; Metazoa; Chordata; Mammalia; Artiodactyla; Camelidae.
AGGGGUAGAGCUCAGGGGUAGAGUAUACACUUAGCAUGCAUGCGGUCCUGGGUUCAGUCCCCAGUACCUCUA